This 655-nucleotide ribosomal RNA is filed under the name Porpidia sp. Orange 18945 (NMW - C2013001222). RNAcentral's name for it is "eukaryotic LSU rRNA". The stretch from base 254 to 407 matches the Rfam family "5.8S ribosomal RNA". Lineage: Eukaryota; Fungi; Ascomycota; Lecanoromycetes; Lecideales; Lecideaceae. The record is from RNAcentral.
UAGAGGAAGUAAAAGUCGUAACAAGGUUUCCGUAGGUGAACCUGCGGAAGGAUCAUUACCGAGAGGAGGACCUCGCGUCCCCGGGGGGCUUCGGCCCCCACUCUUCACCCUGUGCGUACCCACCGUUGUUGCUUCGGCGCGCGGUCCGCGCCGGUGGUCCCGGGCAUUCACCCGGGGCGCCUUCCCGCGGCCCCGCCGGAGGCCUUCCAAACCCCGUCAUCAGUGUCGUCUGAGGAGAAAUCCAAUAACUAAAAACUUUCAACAACGGAUCUCUUGGUUCUGGCAUCGAUGAAGAACGCAGCGAAAUGCGAUAAUUAAUGUGAAUUGCAGAAUUCAGUGAAUCAUCGAAUCUUUGAACGCACAUUGCGCCCCUUGGUAUUCCGAGGGGCAUGCCUGUUCGAGCGUCAUUGCAACCUUCAAGCACCGCUUGGUACUGGGUUUCGUCCGCAGGGGCGUGCCCGAAAGACAGUGGCGGUCCGGCCGGGGCCCCGAGCGCAGUAGAUAACCUUUCGCUCCGGGCGCUCCCGCCGCGGCCAGCCAGCCAACAGCCCCCCGAUUUUCAAUGGUUGACCUCGGAUCAGGUAGGGAUACCCGCUGAACUUAAGCAUAUCAAUAAGCGGAGGAAAAGAAACCAACAGGGAUUGCCUCAGUAACG